Molecule: ribosomal RNA, 407 nt
Filed under: uncultured Christensenella sp.
Lineage: Bacteria; Bacillati; Bacillota; Clostridia; Christensenellales; Christensenellaceae
Description: bacterial SSU rRNA
Rfam family: Bacterial small subunit ribosomal RNA
Source: RNAcentral
UGGGGAAUAUUGGGCAAUGGGGGAAACCCUGACCCAGCAACGCCGCGUGAAGGAAGAAGGCCUUCGGGUUGUAAACUUUUGUCCUAUGGGACGAAAAAAAUGACGGUACCAUAGGAGGAAGCUCCGGCUAACUACGUGCCAGCAGCCGCGGUAAUACGUAGGGAGCAAGCGUUGUCCGGAAUUACUGGGCGUAAAGGGUGCGUAGGUGGCCAUGUAAGUCAGGUGUGAAAGACCGGGGCUCAACCCCGGGGUUGCACUUGAAACUGUGUGGCUUGAGUACAGGAGAGGGAAGUGGAAUUCCUAGUGUAGCGGUGAAAUGCGUAGAUAUUAGGAGGAACACCAGUGGCGAAGGCGACUUUCUGGACUGUAACUGACACUGAGGCACGAAAGCGUGGGGAGCAAACAGG